UACGUAGGCAGCGAGCGUUGUUCGGAUUUACUGGGCGUAAAGAGUGCGUAGGCUGUGGUCCAAGUCUGGUGUGAAAUCUCCCGGCUCAACCGGGAGGGUGCGCCGGAAACUGGGCUGCUUGAGUACUGGAGAGGCAAGCGGAAUUCCUGGUGUAGCGGUGAAAUGCGUAGAUAUCAGGAGGAACACCCGUAGUGUAGACGGCUUGCUGGACAGUCACUGACGCUGAGGCACGAAAGCGUGGGGAGCAAACAGG
RNAcentral lists this ribosomal RNA (253 nucleotides) under uncultured bacterium. RNAcentral's name for it is "partial 16S ribosomal RNA". It matches the Rfam family "Bacterial small subunit ribosomal RNA", at positions 524 to 776 of the family's 1533-position model. The record is from RNAcentral.